UUGACGGGACCGCACAAGCGUGGAUGAUGUGAUUAAUUCGAUGCAACGCGUAAAACCUUACCUACCCUUGACAUGUCCGGAAUCCCGAAGAGAUUUGGGAGUGCUCGCAAGAGAACCGGAACACAGGUGCUGCAUGGCUGUCGUCAGCUCGUGUCGUGAGAUGUUGGGUUAAGUCCCGCAACGAGCGCAACCCUUGUCAUUAGUUGCCAUCAUUUGGUUGGGCACUCUAAUGAGACUGCCGGUGACAAACCGGAGGAAGGUGGGGAUGACGCCAAGUCCUCAUGGCCCUUAUGGGUAGGGCUUCACACGUCAUACAAUGGUCGGUACAGAGGGUUGCCAACCCGCGAGGGGGAGCUAAUCCCACAAAGCCGAUCGUAGUCCGGAUCGCAGUCUGCAACUCGACUACGUGAAGUCGGAAUCGCUAGUAAUCGCGGAUCAGCAUGCUGCGGUGAAUACGUUCCCGGGUCUU
RNAcentral lists this ribosomal RNA (469 nucleotides) under uncultured Rhodocyclaceae bacterium. RNAcentral describes it as "bacterial SSU rRNA". It matches the Rfam family "Bacterial small subunit ribosomal RNA", at positions 910 to 1382 of the family's 1533-position model. Lineage: Bacteria; Pseudomonadati; Pseudomonadota; Betaproteobacteria; Rhodocyclales; Rhodocyclaceae. The record is from RNAcentral.